CCUACGGGUGGCAGCAGUGAGGAAUAUUGGUCAAUGGACGAGAGUCUGAACCAGCCAAGUAGCGUGAAGGAUGACUGCCCUAUGGGUUGUAAACUUCUUUUAUAUGGGAAUAAAACGUUCCACGUGUGGGAUUUUGUAUGUACCAUAUGAAUAAGGAUCGGCUAACUCCGUGCCAGCAGCCGCGGUAAUACGGAGGAUCCGAGCGUUAUCCGGAUUUAUUGGGUUUAAAGGGAGCGUAGGUGGAUUGUUAAGUCAGUUGUGAAAGUUUGAGGCUCAACCGUAAAAUUGCAGUUGAAACUGGCAGUCUUGAGUACAGUGGAGGUAGGCGGAAUUCGUGGUGUAGCGGUGAAAUGCUUAGAUAUCACGAAGAACUCCGAUUGCGAAGGCAGUUCACUGGACUGCAACUGACACUGAGGCUCGAAAGUGUGGGUAUCAAACAGGAUUAGAUACCCUUGUAGUC
This 460-nucleotide ribosomal RNA is filed under the name uncultured bacterium. RNAcentral's name for it is "partial 16S ribosomal RNA". It matches the Rfam family "Bacterial small subunit ribosomal RNA", at positions 338 to 795 of the family's 1533-position model. The record is from RNAcentral.